Molecule: unclassified non-coding RNA, 215 nt
Filed under: Hevea brasiliensis (rubber tree)
Lineage: Eukaryota; Viridiplantae; Streptophyta; Magnoliopsida; Malpighiales; Euphorbiaceae
Source: RNAcentral
GUGGACUUUGCUUGAGCCAAGUUAUAAUUCAGAUUUUUAAUUUUCUAAUAAUGUGAAACUGGGACCGGGCUCAUACAGCCCACUUGGAUAAGCAAUCAGGCUUUGCAACGGGCCCUGGAGUCCACUGGACCUGACAAUUGAUCCUUGUCGUGUAGGCUUGUAGCUGCUGGUCAAGCGUUGCUGUCUUCGCCGUUGCCCGUGACCGAAAAAGAAAA